Molecule: ribosomal RNA, 774 nt
Filed under: uncultured Neocallimastigales
Lineage: Eukaryota; Fungi; Neocallimastigomycota; Neocallimastigomycetes; Neocallimastigales
Description: partial large subunit ribosomal RNA
Rfam family: Eukaryotic large subunit ribosomal RNA
Source: RNAcentral
CGCAUCUGUGCAUGCAGCAUAUCAAUAAGCGGAGGAAAAGAAACUAACAAGGAUUCCCCUAGUAACGGCGAGUGAAGCGGGAAGAGCUCAAAUUUGAAAUCUUAAAGGGUUUCCCUUUACGAAUUGUAGUUUAAAGAAGUGUUUUCUGUUGAGGUUUUGGUAAAAGUUCUUUGGAAUAGGACAUCAUAGAGGGUGAGAAUCCCGUAUUUGACCUUUACUUUCAACUUUGUGAUACACUUUCAAAGAGUCGGAUUGUUUGGGAAUGCAGUCCAAAAUGGGUGGUAAAUUUCAUCUAAAGCUAAAUAUUGGCGAGAGACCGAUAGCGAACAAGUACCGUGAGGGAAAGAUGAAAAGAACUUUGAAAAGAGAGUUAAACAGUACGUGAAAUUGUCAAAAGGGAAGCGUUUGACACCAGUGUUGUUUUUCUGAAAAUCAAUUAAAGAACUGUUUAUGCUAAGUUGUUUAGACUUUAUCAGCUAACUGUUUAGUUUUGAGCUUUUCUUUAAUGCACUUUUCAGUUAACAAGUCAACAUCAAUUUCUUUUGCUGUAAAAAGGCUUGAGGAAGGUGGCUUGAGAUUCGUCUUAAGUGUUUAUAGCCUCUUGCCUAUGCAGUCGGAGAGAUUGAGGUCUGCAGCGUAGAUCCUUCGGGGCUAAAUGCAUUUGUGCUAAGUUAUAGCAUUUUAUAGACAACUUGUUGACUAUGAUUUGUCUUGUAGCUUACUCGCUUAUGUUAUUUUACCUACGCUUAGGAUGUUGACAGCAGUAUAGACUGU